UAAAGUGCGAUAUGUAGUGCAAUUUGCAUGAAUCUGUGAGUCAUCUAAUCUUUGAACGCAACUUGCGCCGGGAUCCGGCAUGUUUGUUCGAGGGCCGCAAUGAAAAAUAAUGCGUGAGCAUGAAGUGACCUUUGUCGUUUUGACUGGGUUGAAACAGAGUCAGUGAAUGGCAAGUGUGUCAAGCCGAGUGCUAAGCAUUCUUGGCUCAACCACACUCAACCAUAUCAACCAAUCUACUCUCUGGCCUCGAAUCAAGCAAGAUUACCCGCUGAACUUAA
This 278-nucleotide unclassified non-coding RNA is filed under the name uncultured fungus. Its description in RNAcentral is "sequence contains ITS1". The stretch from base 1 to 97 matches the Rfam family "5.8S ribosomal RNA", at positions 49 to 154 of the family's 154-position model. Lineage: Eukaryota; Fungi. The record is from RNAcentral.